Molecule: unclassified non-coding RNA, 347 nt
Filed under: soil metagenome
Description: partial contains 5.8S ribosomal RNA, internal transcribed spacer 2, and large subunit ribosomal RNA
Rfam family: 5.8S ribosomal RNA (bases 1-120)
Source: RNAcentral
GAUGAAGAACGUAGCGAAAUGCGAUAAGUAAUGUGAAUUGCAGAAUUCAGUGAAUCAUCGAAUCUUUGAACGCACAUUGCGCCCGCCAGUAUUCUGGCGGGCAUGCCUGUCUGAGCGUCAUUUCAACCCUCAUGCCCCUAGGGCGUGGUGUUGGGGAUCGGCCAAAGCCCGCGAGGGACGGCCGGCCCCUAAAUCUAGUGGCGGACCCGUCGUGGCCUCCUCUGCGAAGUAGUGAUAUUCCGCAUCGGAGAGCGACGAGCCCCUGCCGUUAAACCCCCAACUUUCCAAGGUUGACCUCAGAUCAGGUAGGAAUACCCGCUGUACUUAAGCAUAUCAAAAGCGGAGGA